GGAUUUUUGAGGCCUCAACAGAUAUUUUGCUUGUUUUUUGGUCAAACAAGGAGACUUUGUUUCUCGUUUUUUUUAAAUAAGAAAUAGUCCCUUACGUCCCCACCACCAAUUCCUUAUAAAAGAUUAGAGCAUUCAUAAGAGUAUCCACAAUCAUGUUAUUUCUUAGCUAAAAUUUAGCUAAAAACACAAAAAAGCUAUUUU
RNAcentral lists this long non-coding RNA (201 nucleotides) under Prunus persica (peach). Its description in RNAcentral is "long non-coding RNA (PPER_LNC006891)". Lineage: Eukaryota; Viridiplantae; Streptophyta; Magnoliopsida; Rosales; Rosaceae. The record is from RNAcentral.